UACGUAGGGUGCGAGCGUUGUCCGGAAUUAUUGGGCGUAAAGAGCUUGUAGGCGGUUUGUCGCGUCUGCCGUGAAAAUUCGAGGCUCAACCUCGAACUUGCGGUCGAUACGGGCAGGCUAGAGUUCGGUAGGGGAGACUGGAAUUCCUGGUGUAGCGGUGAAAUGCGCAGAUAUCGGGAAGAACACCCGUGGCGAAGGCGGUUCUCUGGGACGGUACUGACGCUGAGACGCGAAGCGUGG
This 240-nucleotide ribosomal RNA is filed under the name uncultured bacterium. Its description in RNAcentral is "partial 16S ribosomal RNA". It matches the Rfam family "Bacterial small subunit ribosomal RNA", at positions 524 to 764 of the family's 1533-position model. The record is from RNAcentral.